AAUGAACGUUCGCGGCAUAGAUUAGGCAUGCAAGUCGAGCGCGAAACGUAGCAAUACGUGGAGAGCGGCGAAAGGGAGAGGAAUAUAUAGAUACCUACCUUCUGGUCUGGGAUAGCGGCGGGAAACUGCCGGUAAUACCAGAUAACGUCUCCGGACCAAAGGUGUGCUUCCACCGGGAGAUGGGUCUAUAUCCUAUCAGCUAGUUGGUAAGGUAACGGCUUACCAAGGCUAAGACGGGUACGGGGUGUGAGAGCAUGCCCCCGCUCACUGAGACAGAGACACUGCCCAGACACCUACGGGUGGCUGCAGUCGAGAAGCUUCGGCAAUGGGCGAAAGCCUGUCCGAGCGAUGCCGCGUGUGGGAUGAAGGCCUUCGGGUUGUAAACCACUGUCGUAGGGGAUUAAUGGUAGGUGGGUUCUCCCAUCUAUUUGAACGAUCCUAGGAGGAAGGACGGGCUAAGUUCGUGCCAGCCGCCGCCGUAA
This 482-nucleotide ribosomal RNA is filed under the name uncultured bacterium. RNAcentral describes it as "partial 16S ribosomal RNA". It matches the Rfam family "Bacterial small subunit ribosomal RNA", at positions 29 to 523 of the family's 1533-position model. The record is from RNAcentral.